This 502-nucleotide ribosomal RNA is filed under the name uncultured bacterium. RNAcentral describes it as "partial 16S ribosomal RNA". It matches the Rfam family "Bacterial small subunit ribosomal RNA", at positions 30 to 523 of the family's 1533-position model. The record is from RNAcentral.
AUUGAACGCUGGCGGCAUGCCUUACACAUGCAAGUCGAACGGCAGCAUGGGUGCUUGCACCUGAUGGCGAGUGGCGAACGGGUGAGUAAUGCAUCGGAACGUACCCGGAAGUGGGGGAUAACGUAGCGAAAGUUACGCUAAUACCCCCUAUUCUGUGAGCAGGAAAGAUGGGGAUCGCAAGACCGCUCGCUUUCGGACCGGCAGAUGUCCGAUUAGCUAGUAGGCGGGGUAAAGGCCCACCAAGGCAACGAUCCGUAGCGGGUCUGAGAGGAUGAUCCGCCACACUGGGACUGAGACACGGCCCAGACUCCUACGGGAGGCAGCAGUGGGGAAUUUUGGACAAUGGGGGCAACCCUGAUCCAGCCAUGCCGCGUGAGUGAAGAAGGCCUUCGGGUUGUAAAGCUCUUUCGGCUGGGAAGAAAUCGCAUCUCCUAAUACGGGGUGUGGAUGACGGUACCAGCGUAAGAAGCACCGGCUAACUACGUGCCAGCAGCCGCGGUAA